UACGUAGGGUGCGAGCGUUAAUCGGAAUUACUGGGCGUAAAGCGCGUGUAGGCGGCCCUGCAAGUCGGAUGUGAAAUCCCACGGCUCAACCGUGGAAGUGCAUUCGAAACUGCAGGGCUAGAGUCCUGGAGAGGAAGGUGGAAUGCUUGGUGUAGAGGUGAAAUUCGUAGAUAUCAAGCGGAACACCGGUGGCGAAGGCGGCCUUCUGGACAGUGACUGACGCUGAGACGCGAAAGCGUGGGGAGCAAACAGG
Molecule: ribosomal RNA, 253 nt
Filed under: uncultured bacterium
Lineage: Bacteria
Description: partial 16S ribosomal RNA
Rfam family: Bacterial small subunit ribosomal RNA
Source: RNAcentral